AGAAGCGGGGGAUAACACCUGGAAACAGAUGCUAAUACCGCAUAACAACUUGGACCGCAUGGUCCGAGCUUGAAAGAUGGCUUCGGCUAUCACUUUUGGAUGGUCCCGCGGCGUAUUAGCUAGAUGGUGGGGUAACGGCUCACCAUGGCAAUGAUACGUAGCCGACCUGAGAGGGUAAUCGGCCACAUUGGGACUGAGACACGGCCCAAACUCCUACGGGAGGCAGCAGUAGGGAAUCUUCCACAAUGGACGAAAGUCUGAUGGAGCAACGCCGCGUGAGUGAAGAAGGGUUUCGGCUCGUAAAACUCUGUUGUUAAAGAAGAACAUA
RNAcentral lists this ribosomal RNA (328 nucleotides) under Lactiplantibacillus plantarum. RNAcentral's name for it is "bacterial SSU rRNA". It matches the Rfam family "Bacterial small subunit ribosomal RNA", at positions 132 to 453 of the family's 1533-position model. The record is from RNAcentral. Lineage: Bacteria; Bacillati; Bacillota; Bacilli; Lactobacillales; Lactobacillaceae.